UACGUAGGGUGCAAGCGUUGUCCGGAAUUAUUGGGCGUAAGGAGCUUGUAGGCGGUUUGUCGCGUCUGCUGUGAAAUUUCGGGGCUCAACCCCGAACUUGCAGUGGGUACGGGCAGACUAGAGUGUGGUAGGGGAGACUGGAAUUCCUGGUGUAGCGGUGAAAUGCGCAGAUAUCAGGAGGAACACCGGUGGCGAAGGCGGGUCUCUGGGCCGAUACUGACGUGAGGAGCGAAAGCGUGGGGAGCGAACAGG
Molecule: ribosomal RNA, 252 nt
Filed under: uncultured bacterium
Lineage: Bacteria
Description: partial 16S ribosomal RNA
Rfam family: Bacterial small subunit ribosomal RNA
Source: RNAcentral